This 253-nucleotide ribosomal RNA is filed under the name uncultured bacterium. RNAcentral describes it as "partial 16S ribosomal RNA". It matches the Rfam family "Bacterial small subunit ribosomal RNA", at positions 524 to 776 of the family's 1533-position model. The record is from RNAcentral.
UACGAAGGGGGCUAGCGUUGCUCGGAAUUACUGGGCGUAAAGCGCACGUAGGCGGCUCUUUAAGUCGGGGGUGAAAUCCUGGAGCUCAACUCCAGAACUGCCUUCGAUACUGAAGAGCUUGAGUCCGGGAGAGGUGAGUGGAACUGCGAGUGUAGAGGUGAAAUUCGUAGAUAUUCGCAAGAACACCAGUGGCGAAGGCGGCUCACUGGCCCGGUACUGACACUGAGGUGCGAAAGCGUGGGGAGCAAACAGG